CCACCGCAGAUCUAGUUAACGCCGUUAGCCACGAUUUCCUCCCUCUUUCCUGAAACAAUACCACCCCACACGCUCCACCUGAAGGCUGAAAUCACCGAGCACGGUCAUCUCUCUGAACCACUUCUCCCUGGCCUGGCUUCCUCCAUAACCAGGCAAGGUUGCCCGCCCUUCCGCUUCCUCCUAGUUCUGACCCCGGUGACCUCCAUUGGAGACCGCCCCCAUUCGUCGAUUUCGCACCCUAGCUGCCCUCGUCCCCGGCCAGCUACCGCCCAGAUCUCUGGAUCAUGGAGUCCCUCCGCCCGCCUCAUCUCCCUCCACCGCCGCCGGUUAAUGGAUUUGAGGAGUCUGCUUCUGUACAAAGAUGAGGGCGCUGUCCGUCGGGGCGCAAUGGAUGAGCAUCUGUUCCGUCACCCAUGGUGCUUGACGCCGGGAAGGGCGAGAGGAUGGCGGAACGGCGGGGAUGGCUUUGGUGCGCGAGGCAGCAGACUAGGGACAAGAGACCACGUUAAGGCUGCUAUUGAUUUUCGAUUUGAUUUUUGGAGUGAUCUAGAUGAACAUGUUUGCUGUAGUUCGGAUCUUUAUUUCUCUGUCCUCUUCUUGGAUUUUCCUCUCUCUCUCUCUCUCUUUGUAAUGGGAGCGCUGGUUUCUUGGAUUACUAACGAACUUCUCAUCUGUUUCUAUUUUAGACAAAAUUAGUGUUCAUCUGGAUGACUUGCACGGUUGUUUUGGUGGAUGGCCUUCUCUGUUCUCAGCCCCAUGUGGUUCUCGCGUUCACAGUGCAGCCCGUACCAAGGAGCACGAUGGCUCUACGACCUGCUCAGGCAAACCUCGUCUGGUUUGGUGGCCAGCAGCCGCGUGGAGGGAUUUUUUUCCUGAUCUAGAUUAGCGGAUUUCUUUUUGUUACUUUUUCUUGUCCUGGAUUAGAGCGAGGUCGCCUAUGUUCCCAAUCCAGAUUCCAUGUUGAUUUCCCUGUUCUCCCAAUCUAGAUCGAAAGUUUGUCGUGCGGGUCUUGAUUUUUAUGUGUUCCCAAUCCAUAUUCCAUUGUAAUUGAAACAAACAGUGUGAAUUUUGAUCAGGAUUUGCAUCA
Lolium perenne is the source of this 1087-nucleotide long non-coding RNA. RefSeq lists it as uncharacterized. NCBI's taxonomy places the organism in Eukaryota, Viridiplantae, Streptophyta, Magnoliopsida, Poales, Poaceae. The record is from RefSeq and is a predicted model, not a curated record.